This 277-nucleotide ribosomal RNA is filed under the name uncultured bacterium. Its description in RNAcentral is "partial 16S ribosomal RNA". It matches the Rfam family "Bacterial small subunit ribosomal RNA", at positions 28 to 314 of the family's 1533-position model. The record is from RNAcentral.
GACAAACGCUGGCGGCGUGCCUAAGACAUGCAAGUCGAACGAGGGCUUCGGCUCGAGUGGCGGACGGGUGAGGAACGCGUGACCAAUCUGCCCUGGAGUGGGGGAUACCCGCCAGAAAUGGCGGCUAAUACCGCAUACGACCGCUGGCUGUUGGGCCGGUGGGGAAAGCCCGUGAGGGCGCUCGUGGAGGGGGUCGCGUCGGAUUAGCUGGUUGGUGGGGUAACGGCCUACCAAGGCGACGAUCCGUAGCUGGUCUGAGAGGACGGCCAGCCACACU